RNAcentral lists this long non-coding RNA (1456 nucleotides) under Macaca fascicularis (crab-eating macaque). RNAcentral describes it as "lncRNA (ENSMFAG00000059646.1)". Lineage: Eukaryota; Metazoa; Chordata; Mammalia; Primates; Cercopithecidae. The record is from RNAcentral.
UUUUUUUUUUUUUUUUUUUUUUCUGGCGUAGGUGACUAAGGCAAAACACAAACAUGCAGAAGUGAGGGGAAAGGUGGUGGAUUUGUGGAAUAUAAGAUUGCCUGAGGAUCCAUGCCUGGACUGUCUGUCACUUGAUGACCCAGAAUAUGGACGAUGUUGUUGAUGUUUACAUCUUUAGCUGGGUUAAGCUUUUCUCCAAGAUGCUUCUUUAGGUGAGGAGGCGAAAAUGUACGUAGCUGACACCAAUGCGAGUGCAUUUUGUGCAUUUUUUUCUUUACGAUUUUCCUUAAAUUUUUAUUAAAGCAAUGACCUGGUCUAUUAAAUAUAAUACUAUAAUGUACAAAGCAAACCUGGACACUUACCAUAACUCUGAUAUGUAAGAAAUUCCUCUUGGAUGGUCAGAAUGAUCUCUACCACGUCCCCCAACGUUGCCGUCACGGUCACUACAUUUACGACAUGUUUGCUACGGUCAGCAGGAACAUCUUCAGAAAACUAUUUGACAGAACCGGAAACUAUUAUAGUACCUAUAUCCUCCAGAGGAAUGUUCAUCCCGACUAGAAUAACCAUAAUCAUGGUAUCCAUAACCUCUAGGUGGUGGACCAUCAUCCCUGGUGUCUCAGGAACUCGUAUGAAUUCUGCUUCCGUAAGUUAAAGCAACAAAUUCUAAAUUAUCAACUUCUCGUAUCCCAAACAUAACUAACUUACAACUUAAACACAAUAAAGGACCGAACACACGAAUAGUUGUUUCUCCAAAUACUAUAUGCAAAUGCUCAAAAGGCACAUGGAAGAAAUCAUCAUAAUUAGUUAUUCAGAAAAUGCAUUUCAAAACCAAAAUGAGAUAGCAUACUUCACACACACUGGAAUGGGAAUACAUUUUAAAAAGCAGGAAAUAUCAAGUGUUUGAGAGGACGUAGAUAAUUUGGAACCCUGACACAAUGCUAGCUGGAAUGGAAAAUGAUGCAGCUACUAUGAAGAAAUGUGGUGGUUCCCCAAGAAAAUAAACACAAUUAUCACAGGACCAAGCAAUUCCAUUCUCACAUACUGAGAAAUGAAUAAGGGUGCCCAGACAAAUAGGUAUGUAGAAAUACAGUGGUGGAAACAACCCAAAUAAAAUAGUGGGUCAGCAGCUUGUGUAAGGAAAGAAGUGCUGCAAUGUAAACGAUCCUUCAGGGCAUCGUGCAAAGGAAAGGAGACAGUUAUAAAAAGUCCUGUAUUGUUUGAGCCCACCAACAUGAAAUACCCGGAACAGGUACCUUCAGAGGCAGAAAACAGAUUGCUGUUUGUUAGGGGCUGAGGGAAGGGAGAAAACGAAAGGAACUGCUUAACUGGUAGUGGGGUUGUAGUUUGGAGUGAUGAAAAUGUUCUGGAACUAGAUGGAGGUGGUUGUUGCACAACACAGGUUGUAUUACACGCCACUUAACUAUUUACCUUAAAAUGUUUAAUUUUGUUUUGUGAA